CGCGGGAUUAGAGUUUGAUCAUGGCUCAGAUUGAACGCUGGCGGCAGGCUUAACACAUGCAAGUCGAGCGGAAACGAUGGUAGCUUGCUACCAGGCGUCGAGCGGCGGACGGGUGAGUAAUGCUUGGGAAUCUGCCUUGAGGUGGGGGAUAACAGUUGGAAACGACUGCUAAUACCGCAUGAUGUCUUCGGACCAAAGUAGGGGAUCUUCGGACCUUACGCCUUUAGAGGAGCCCAAGUGAGAUUAGCUAGUUGGUUAGGUAAUGGCUCACCAAGGCGACGAUCUCUAGCUGGUUUGAGAGGAUGAUCAGGCACACUGGGACUGAGACACGGCCCAGACUCCUACGGGAGGCAGCAGUGGGGAAUAUUGGACAAUGGGCGCAAGCCUGAUCCAGCCAUGCCGCGUGUGUGAAGAAGGCCUUCGGGUUGUAAAGCACUUUCAGACGUGAGGAAAGGGUGUAGGUUAAUAACUUGCAUCUGUGACGUUAGCGUCAGAAGAAGCACCGGCUAACUCCGUGCCAGCAGCCGCGGUAAUACGGAGGGUGCGAGCGUUAAUCGGAAUUACUGGGCGUAAAGGGCACGCAGGCGGUUGACUAAGUCAGAUGUGAAAGCCCAGGGCUCAACCCUGGAACUGCAUUUGAAACUGGUCGACUAGAGUCCUGUAGAGGGGGGUAGAAUUUCA
This 681-nucleotide ribosomal RNA is filed under the name uncultured Vibrionaceae bacterium. RNAcentral's name for it is "bacterial SSU rRNA". It matches the Rfam family "Bacterial small subunit ribosomal RNA", at positions 1 to 671 of the family's 1533-position model. The record is from RNAcentral. Lineage: Bacteria; Pseudomonadati; Pseudomonadota; Gammaproteobacteria; Vibrionales; Vibrionaceae.